RNAcentral lists this ribosomal RNA (468 nucleotides) under uncultured bacterium. Its description in RNAcentral is "partial 16S ribosomal RNA". It matches the Rfam family "Bacterial small subunit ribosomal RNA", at positions 28 to 507 of the family's 1533-position model. The record is from RNAcentral.
GACGAACGCUGGCGGCGGGCUUAACACAUGCAAGUCGAACGGAAAGGCCCUGCGUGCGUGGGCUGCUCGAGGGGGGAACGGGGGCGGAACACGUGAGUAACCGGCCCUUGACUUUGGUAUAAGUUCAGGAAACUGGAGCUAAGACCGGAUAGCAUCUCCUGCUGCAGGGAGGGGGGUGGAAAGUCUCGGCGGUUGGGGCUGGACGCGCGGCUGAUGGGCUUGUUGGUUGGGUAGUGGCUUCCCAAGGCUUGGACGGGUCGCCGGCCUGAGAGGGUGAACGGCCACCUUGGGCCUGCGAGACGGACCAGAGUGCUAUGGGAGGCAGUAGUGGGGAAUAUUGUCCAGUGGGCGGACGCGUGAUGAAGCGGCGUCGCGUGCGGGAUGCCGGCUUUCGGGGUGUGAACCGCUUUCGGCUGUGACGAAGCGUUAGUGACGGUAAUGGGUAAAGAAGCACCGGCUAACUACGUG